UUCAGAAGGUGGAUGUUCCUUCUAUGUUUACGGGACUUAACAGUUAAUCAUAGAGGAAAAUCCACGUUUUCGC
Felis catus (domestic cat) is the source of this 73-nucleotide microRNA precursor. NCBI's taxonomy places the organism in Eukaryota, Metazoa, Chordata, Mammalia, Carnivora, Felidae. The record is from Rfam.